This is a long non-coding RNA of Electrophorus electricus (electric eel), 1067 nucleotides long. RefSeq lists it as uncharacterized. NCBI's taxonomy places the organism in Eukaryota, Metazoa, Chordata, Actinopteri, Gymnotiformes, Gymnotidae. The record is from RefSeq and is a predicted model, not a curated record.
AAUUUUAUCUUAUAGUACCCUGAAGAUGUUCACAGUUGAGGCCUCACCUACAACUACAGAAAUGCACGUUCUUGUCCAUUGUGUGGUGAGAUGGAUCAAGAGGAUUUUACUGAGUUACAUGCCAGCACAUGUGAUGGAAAGAGACGGUAGAGAACAGCAGAGAACAGUUGGCUUUCAGAUCUACCAGGCUGAACAACACACUAGCCAGAAGUUAUAACUUUUAAAUUGUCCAGCAUUGUUUUGAAAUGUCAUAAUUACUAUAGCACUGUUCAUUUUUAUCUGAUGAUGUCUUAAAUGUGUCUAAAUAAUUCCAGCCUGCAGUUUCUUGAAUUAAUGGCUAUGUAAUUAACAACUUAUAGGCCUUAAUAUGUUUUCAUUUAAUCAGUACACUUUACCUGAAUUAUAAAAAUACCAUCUGGUAGCAACAGUGCCCACUGGAGUUCAAACACUGUGUUAUUAACUGAAUCCAUAUUGAUUACAAAUUUUGGUAACUAACAACGAAAAAUCCAGUCACAUUGGAGUAAUGAACACAUUUAUUAAAUGGCACUUUGGACAACCAGCAUUAUAGGAGUACAAAGUACAGUAAAUUACUUUGUACAGUCAGUUUUACAGACAUUUUGAGUAUUACUGGCAAAUAUUGGUGGUUAUGUUAGCGGGUUAUCAACUCGUGUUGGAUAUGUUCUUCGUUGUGAUUAAGAGUUACAAGUGUUAAUGUCAAGGCUGCUGUUGUUAUAGCCUACAAGAUCAGGCUGCAAGAUUAGGAAUGGUAUGAGUAUUACUGGCAAGACUUUGCUUGCCCUAGUCAUAUCUUUCUUCUUUCUUACUGCUUUUCUCUUGGUACCCACAUGUCCAUUCACUCCUGUCCAGUAUGGACAGAUAAGGACAGGCAUGCCUGUACAUGUACGUUAGGUGGUCACUCUCUAGACACACUAGGUAAGGGGUGGAUACCACCCACAGUUUUUUUGGACAGGAGAGUCAUGGAUGAUUAAGCAGGGUAGGCAUGUUUUUGUUCUUUUUAUUGCUUUUCCACUGUCCAAAGUCCACCCAAUCCCUUUGUACCUCUUCUG